RNAcentral lists this ribosomal RNA (241 nucleotides) under uncultured Lactobacillus sp. RNAcentral's name for it is "partial 16S ribosomal RNA". It matches the Rfam family "Bacterial small subunit ribosomal RNA", at positions 122 to 355 of the family's 1533-position model. Lineage: Bacteria; Bacillati; Bacillota; Bacilli; Lactobacillales; Lactobacillaceae. The record is from RNAcentral.
UAACCUGCCCAAGAGAUCGGGAUAACACCUGGAAACAGAUGCUAAUACCGGAUAAUAACAGAUGAUGCCUAUCAACUGUUUAAAAGAUGGUUCUGCUAUCACUCUUGGAUGGACCUGCGGUGCAUUAGCUAGUUGGUAGGGUAACGGCCUACCAAGGCGAUGAUGCAUAGCCGAGUUGAGAGACUGAUCGGCCACAUUUGGGACUGAGACACGGCCCAAACUCCUACGGGAGGCAGCAGUA